Molecule: ribosomal RNA, 497 nt
Filed under: uncultured bacterium
Lineage: Bacteria
Description: partial 16S ribosomal RNA
Rfam family: Bacterial small subunit ribosomal RNA
Source: RNAcentral
GGGGGGGGGGGGGGGGGGGGGGGGGGGGGGGGGGGGGGGGGGGGGGGGGGGGGGGUUGCUGCUGGGACGGUGGCGGCGGGCGGGGGGGUAACACGUGGAUAACCUACCUGUAAGACGGGGAUAACUUCGGGAAACCGGGGCGAAUCCCGGAUACUAUAUUUAACCGCAUGGUUCAAUAGUGAACGACGGUUUUGCUGUCACUGAUAGAUGGAUCCGCGCCGCAUUAGCUAGUUGGUAAGGUAACGGCUUACCAAGGCAACGAUGCGUAGCCGACCUGAGAGGGUGAUCGGCCACACUGGAACUGAGAAACGGUCCAGACUCCUACGGGAGGCAGCAGUAGGGAAUCUUCCGCAAUGGGCGAAAGCCUGACGGAGCAACGCCGCGUGAGUGAUGAAGGUCUUCGGAUCGUAAAACUCUGUUAUGAGGGAAGAACAAAUGUGUAAGUAACUAUGCACGUCUUGACGGUACCUAAUCAGAAAGCCACGGCUAACUACGUG